This 253-nucleotide ribosomal RNA is filed under the name uncultured bacterium. RNAcentral's name for it is "partial 16S ribosomal RNA". It matches the Rfam family "Bacterial small subunit ribosomal RNA", at positions 524 to 776 of the family's 1533-position model. The record is from RNAcentral.
UACGUAGGGUGCGAGCGUUAAUCGGAAUUACUGGGCGUAAAGCGUGCGCAGGCGGUUCGUUGUGUCGGUGGUGAAAGCCCCGGGCUUAACCUGGGAAUGGCCAUGGAAACUGGCGAACUGGAGUGUGGCAGAGGGGGGUGGAAUUCCGCGUGUAGCAGUGAAAUACGUAGAGAUGCGGAGGAACACCGAUGGCGAAGGCAGCCCCCUGGGCUGACACUGACGCUCAGGCACGAAAGCGUGGGGAGCAAACAGG